UACGUAGGUGACCAGCGUUGUCCGGAUUUACUGGGCGUAAAGAGCGCGCAGGCGGUCGUUCAAGUCGAGUGUGAAAGCCCCCGGCUCAACUGGGGAGGGUCACUCGAUACUGAUCGACUCGAAGGUGGGAGAGGGUAGUGGAAUUCCCGGUGUAGUGGUGAAAUGCGUAGAUAUCGGGAGGAACACCAGUGGCGAAGGCGACUACCUGGCCCAUUUCUUGACGCUGAGGCGCGAAAGCUAGGGGAGCAAACGGG
This 254-nucleotide ribosomal RNA is filed under the name uncultured bacterium. RNAcentral describes it as "partial 16S ribosomal RNA". It matches the Rfam family "Bacterial small subunit ribosomal RNA", at positions 524 to 776 of the family's 1533-position model. The record is from RNAcentral.